RNAcentral lists this ribosomal RNA (515 nucleotides) under uncultured bacterium. RNAcentral describes it as "bacterial SSU rRNA". It matches the Rfam family "Bacterial small subunit ribosomal RNA", at positions 501 to 1017 of the family's 1533-position model. The record is from RNAcentral.
CUACGUGCCAGCAGCCGCGGUAAUACGGGGGGUGCGAGCGUUAAUCGGAAUAACUGGGCGUAAAGGGCACGCAGGCGGUGACUUAAGUGAGAUGUGAAAGCCCCGAGCUUAACUUGGGGAUUGCAUUUCAUACUGGGUCGCUAGAGUACUUUAGGGAGGGGUAGAAUUCCACGUGUAGCGGUGAAAUGCGUAGAGAUGUGGAGGAAUACCGAAGGCGAAGGCAGCCCCUUGGGAAUGUACUGACGCUCAUGUGCGAAAGCGUGGGGAGCAAACAGGAUUAGAUACCCUGGUAGUCCACGCUGUAAACGAUGUCGAUUUGGGGAUUGGGCUUUGAGCUUGGUGCCCGUAGCUAACGUGAUAAAUCGACCGCCUGGGGAGUACGGCCGCAAGGUUAAAACUCAAAUGAAUUGACGGGGGCCCGCACAAGCGGUGGAGCAUGUGGUUUAAUUCGAUGCAACGCGAAGAACCUUACCUACUCUUGACAUCCAUGGAAUCUUGUAGAGAUAUGAGAGUGC